This is a non-coding RNA of Vicia faba (fava bean), 330 nucleotides long. Lineage: Eukaryota; Viridiplantae; Streptophyta; Magnoliopsida; Fabales; Fabaceae. The record is from the annotation of a GenBank genome assembly.
CUCAUUUCAUCACCCAACCCAACAACUUCACACUCACUAACAAACACAAGAAAAUUACAAUUUCAAAAUAAAACCCUCUCACACUCACACACAAACAGACAAACGCAUCAACAAUUUUUCAACUCUCACUCUUUCUUUCCUUCUUUCUCACAUCACAUCACAUCUCGAAAUAUAUUUCAAGUCAAAAAACCCUCUCUCUCUCUCUCUCUCUCUCUCUCUCUCUCUCUCUCUCUCUCCUUUGCUUUUUCUUCUCCCUCUCCUCACUUUCCUCGUUUUCUUUUCUUUUCUUUUUCUUUUCAUUUCACUAUCUUUCUUUUUACUCCUUUUUAA